UAACACAUGCAAGUCGAACGGAGCUGUUUUCUCUGAAGUUUUCGGAUGGAAGAGAGUUCAGCUUAGUGGCGAACGGGUGAGUAACACGUGAGCAACCUGCCUUUCAGUGGGGGACAACAUUUGGAAACGAAUGCUAAUACCGCAUAAGACCACAGUGUCGCAUGGCACAGGGGUCAAAGGAUUUAUCCGCUGAAAGAUGGGCUCGCGUCCGAUUAGCUAGAUGGUGAGGUAACGGCCCACCAUGGCGACGAUCGGUAGCCGGACUGAGAGGUUGAACGGCCACAUUGGGACUGAGACACGGCCCAGACUCCUACGGGAGGCAGCAGUGGGGAAUAUUGCACAAUGGGGGAAACCCUGAUGCAGCGACGCCGCGUGGAGGAAGAAGGUCUUCGGAUUGUAAACUCCUGUCCCAGGGGACGAUAAUGACGGUACCCUGGGAGGAAGCACCGGCUAACUACGUGCCAGCAGCCGCGGUAAAACGUAGGGUGCAAGCGUUGUCCGGAAUUACUGGGUGUAAAGGGAGCGCAGGCGGAUUGGCAAGUUGGGAGUGAAAUCUAUGGGCUCAACCCAUAAAUUGCUUUCAAAACUGUCAGUCUUGAGUGGUGUAGAGGUAGGCGGAAUUCCCGGUGUAGCGGUGGAAUGCGUAGAUAUCGGGAGGAACACCAGUGGCGA
Molecule: ribosomal RNA, 672 nt
Filed under: uncultured Lachnospiraceae bacterium
Lineage: Bacteria; Bacillati; Bacillota; Clostridia; Lachnospirales; Lachnospiraceae
Description: bacterial SSU rRNA
Rfam family: Bacterial small subunit ribosomal RNA
Source: RNAcentral